Molecule: long non-coding RNA, 232 nt
Organism: Lemur catta (Ring-tailed lemur)
Lineage: Eukaryota; Metazoa; Chordata; Mammalia; Primates; Lemuridae
Exons: 3
Source: RefSeq, a predicted model, not a curated record
AGGAGAGCCAAGAAGAGGCUGGGCAGAGCACUCUGUUCCCUCUUGAAAUGUACCAGUCGGAGAAGUUGUUCUUCCUCCCAUGCUGUCAAGAAUAAUGAAUCUUCCGUUCUCCUGGUUGUCUUCCGGAUCACUGACAAUAAUUCAACAAUCCCAUUUGCAAAUGUUAUCACAGCCUGGAAAGCCCUUCAUCGAGAUAAUCCCAUGGGAGAUGAGAGGGAGCACAAUGCACAAG